RNAcentral lists this ribosomal RNA (253 nucleotides) under uncultured bacterium. RNAcentral's name for it is "partial 16S ribosomal RNA". It matches the Rfam family "Bacterial small subunit ribosomal RNA", at positions 524 to 776 of the family's 1533-position model. The record is from RNAcentral.
UACGUAGGGUGCGAGCGUUGUCCGGAAUUACUGGGCGUAAAGAGCUCGUAGGCGGUUUGUCGCGUCUGCCGUGAAAGUCCGGGGCUCAACUCCGGAUCUGCGGUGGGUACGGGCAGACUAGAGUGAUGUAGGGGUGACUGGAAUUCCUGGUGUAGCGGUGGAAUGCGCAGAUAUCAGGAGGAACACCGGUGGCGAAGGCGGGUCUCUGGGCAGUAACUGACGCUGAGGAGCGAAAGCGUGGGGAGCGAACAGG